This 497-nucleotide ribosomal RNA is filed under the name uncultured bacterium. Its description in RNAcentral is "partial 16S ribosomal RNA". It matches the Rfam family "Bacterial small subunit ribosomal RNA", at positions 28 to 507 of the family's 1533-position model. The record is from RNAcentral.
GAUGAACGCUGGCGGCGUGCCUAAUACAUGCAAGUCGAGCGAACGGACGAGAAGCUUGCUUUUCUGAUGUUAGCGGCGGACGGGUGAGUAACACGUGGAUAACCUACCUAUAAGACUGGGAUAACUUCGGGAAACCGGAGCUAAUACCGGAUAAUAUUUUGAACCGCAUGGUUCAAAAGUGAAAGACGGUCUUGCCGUCACUUAUAGAUGGAUCCGCGCUGCAUUAGCUAGUUGGUAAGGUAACGGCUUACCAAGGCAACGAUGCAUAGCCGACCUGAGAGGGUGAUCAGCCACACUGGAACUGAGACACGGUCCAGACUCCUACGGGAGGCAGCAGUAGGGAAUCUUCCGCAAUGGGCGAAAGCCUGACGGAGCAACGCCGCGUGAGUGAUGAAGGUCUUCGGAUCGUAAAACUCUGUUAUUAGGGAAGAACAUAUGUGUAAGUAACUGUGCACAUCUUGACGGUACCUAAUCAGAAAGCCACGGCUAACUACGUG